GAAAUGCGAUAAGUAAUGUGAAUUGCAGAAUUCAGUGAAUCAUCGAAUCUUUGAACGCACCUUGCGCUCCUUGGUAUUCCUUGGAGCAUGCCUGUUUGAGUAUCAUGAAAUCUUCAAAGUAAAUCUUUUGUUAACUCAAUUGGUUUCUACUUUGGUAUUGGAGGUCUUUGCAGCUUCACACCUGCUCCUCUUUGUUCAUUAGCUGGAUCUCAGUGUUAUGCUUGGUUCCACUCGGCGUGAUAAGUUAUCUAUCGCUGAGGACACUGUAAAAGGUGGCCAAGGUAAAUGCAGAUGAACCGCUUCUAAUAGUCCAUUGACUUAGACAAUACUUUUAUGAUCUGAUCUCAAAUCAGGUAGGACUACCCGCUGAACUUAAGCA
This 379-nucleotide unclassified non-coding RNA is filed under the name plant metagenome. Its description in RNAcentral is "partial contains 5.8S ribosomal RNA, internal transcribed spacer 2, and large subunit ribosomal RNA". The stretch from base 1 to 105 matches the Rfam family "5.8S ribosomal RNA", at positions 50 to 154 of the family's 154-position model. The record is from RNAcentral.